UACAAGGUAGACUCACGCAUAAGGAAUGGCCAUCAAUGGGAAGGAAAUGGCCAUUGACAUUAACAUUAGUAACAUUCAUCUGAACUACAAGGGAAUAUUGUAAUGAAAACUCCGACAAUAUUUUCGACUGACUCCUGAUGCUCAAGGAGUAUUUCUGCUCUGUUUGUACAAGAGAUGGCCCAUUGAAAGAUUUGGGAUGGAAUACUAAUUUUACAGUCAAACUAAACAUAUCACCACAUUAAUUUUCAAUUAAUGUGGGAGGCUGAAUGGAGGAAAUUCUACAUUAUAACCAUGGCAAGCUGGUUUAACUUCGACAUGAAUGUUAUCUCAUUCAGGUACUGGAGCUUUCACAUUCCACAGCAAGAUACCUCAAAAAGGUUUGCCAUUGAGACUUGUAAUUAAUUAGCCUGAGCUGGU
Long non-coding RNA from Pristis pectinata (smalltooth sawfish), 417 nucleotides. RefSeq lists it as uncharacterized. The transcript has 3 exons. The record is from RefSeq and is a predicted model, not a curated record. NCBI's taxonomy places the organism in Eukaryota, Metazoa, Chordata, Chondrichthyes, Rhinopristiformes, Pristidae.